Molecule: long non-coding RNA, 536 nt
Organism: Dermacentor silvarum
Lineage: Eukaryota; Metazoa; Arthropoda; Arachnida; Ixodida; Ixodidae
Exons: 4
Source: RefSeq, a predicted model, not a curated record
CAGCUAUUCCGCAGAUUUAUGUACGGACGAAAUGAGAAUAGUGCAAGGAAGAACACCGGCGCCAUAUGGUAUACUUCUAUUUGUUUUUACUAGCAUCUUGCACGAAAGUUAUCAAGCGCCACGAGGUGGAGAACCCCGCAUUGACUUCGAAAAAGCCUACUUUAAUUAUCAAGACAUCCAUAAGGUUUUCAGUACCCACCAAGAAUGGUGUUGUACGGUCUCAGCUAUGGAAGCUCGAGCGUUGAAGGACUACAUUGCAUUCAUUUUAAACAGCAUGGCUUAACAAAUGAACAUGUAUACUUGACAGCCUUGUUCAAGAAGGAUAGUGAAGCCAGGAAAGAAAAGGAAUUCAACGGAACAUUUUACGAAUGCACUGAUCAAACGUACGGAGUUUCUCAGACAGAUCGUAUAAAUCCCAACUGCGUGAAAAUUAAAGACGACCAAGACUCAACAGCAUAUAAGGAAUACAGGUUAUCAUUUUCUAACUACUAUGGCUGCUCCAUCUUCCGAGCAUUGCAACAAACGUCAGGUAUGAG